Molecule: ribosomal RNA, 336 nt
Filed under: Escherichia coli
Lineage: Bacteria; Pseudomonadati; Pseudomonadota; Gammaproteobacteria; Enterobacterales; Enterobacteriaceae
Description: bacterial SSU rRNA
Rfam family: Bacterial small subunit ribosomal RNA
Source: RNAcentral
GAUUUGGGCUACACACGUGCUACAAUGGACAAUACAAAGGGCAGCGAAACCGUGAGGUCAAGCAAAUCCCAUAAAGUUGUUCUCAGUUCGGAUUGUAGUCUGCAACUCGACUACAUGAAGCUGGAAUCGCUAGUAAUCGUAGAUCAGCAUGCUACGGUGAAUACGUUCCCGGGUCUUGUACACACCGCCCGUCACACCACGAGAGUUUGUAACACCCGAAGCCGGUGGAGUAACCUUUUAGGAGCUAGCCGUCGAAGGUGGGACAAAUGAUUGGGGUGAAGUCGUAACAAGGUAGCCGUAUCGGAAGGUGCGGCUGGAUCACCUCCUUUCUAAGGA